This 408-nucleotide long non-coding RNA is filed under the name Olea europaea (common olive). RNAcentral's name for it is "long non-coding RNA (OEUR_LNC002687)". The record is from RNAcentral. Lineage: Eukaryota; Viridiplantae; Streptophyta; Magnoliopsida; Lamiales; Oleaceae.
GAGUUUUGAAUUCAUUUUGAAUUUUGUGUUUUGAGUGUUUGUUUUGAAAUUGUUGAAAAUGCGUUCUUUUUGUUAGUUUCUCAAAACAAAAAAAAAAUAAAUUUUUUUUUUUAAAUUUUGAGAAUCACCACAACACCACCUCAAAACACCCAAAAAAAAAAAAUUUUUUAAUUUUAAUUUUUAUUUUUAAAUUUUGAGAAUCACCACACUAUCUCCUCAAAAAAAAAAAAAUUUUAAUUUUUAAUUUUUUUUGAAAUUUUGAGAAUCACCACACCACCUCCUCAAAAAAAAAAAAAAAAAAAAGAAGUGUUUCCCGCGUUUUCAAUUUUUUCAAGUUUUACAUUGAAAACGCCCAAAACGACAAAAAAGUCGUUUUGUGUUUUCUUCACAAAUUUUUUUUCGUUUUCG